ACUUGAACUCACGAACCUCAAGAUCAUGACCUGAGCCGAAGUCGGAUGCUUAACUGACUGGGCCACCCAGGCACCCUGUCCUCUAUCUUCUUUGAUGCCUUUUGAAUUUUGUAUCCUAUGCAUGUGGUACCAAUUUUGAAAAUGAUAUCCAGGCAAUGGGGAUCCCCUGAAGAAUUUCAGGCAGAAUUUUGCCUGAAAACAAGGCUGUCAUCGUUAAUGCUGCUGAUAACUCUUCUGAGUCUUUGAGGGGACCCAGAGUUUCAGUUUCAAGGAGGAGCUUACAUUCCUGUGGAGGGAGACAGGUAAUCAAGAAAGAAACACAAAAGGGAAGAUGAUGACAAGUGCUCUGGAAAACAAAACAAAACAAAACAAGAUGCACUCUUGGAAUGUCUGCCCUGCCAGACAAAGGACUUCUCUACAGCCCAAAAUCACUGGCUUCAGUUUGGGUCAGGACUGGCAACCUAGUCUCAGUCUCAGCAGAUUCCCACGCCAUUGGAGCCUAGCAUAAGGAACAGUCCUCAGCUCGUCACAGCUUUGCUGCGCCCCCACACCUCAUCUCCCCUCUCUCUGACUGCCUCCUCCUCACCAGCGUGGGGAUUUGGCUGGAGUAGCUUGAGCUUUGAAUUUUAGAACAAAUCCAGAGAACCCAGUAGCCCAGGGGGACCUGGGAAGGGGCUAACAACACCGGAGGUCAUGUGACUGCCUUUGGCUUCUUAUUGCUCCUCAGGCUUUGCUUAGCACUGAAUUGGGGCCCCUGCCCUCCAGAGCCAAGGGGUAGGGGGUGGAGGGCAGCACAACCACAAAUAAUACCACAUAAGAAACUCUAGAGCUGACCUAGGCAUACAGCCCCAUGUUUUGCUUGGCGAGCAAUCCACACCACGGAACAGGGACAUGCUGGCUGCUUAGUCUGCACUGAAGGGUGAAAUCGCCUUCAACUUCUCCAUGCCUCACAUGAUGAUCGGCCUGCACCAUCUCGACCUAUUCCAGGGUGGUUGGAAAGCUAUGAAUCAAACAACAGAUGGGACAGAGAAAGAGUCAACUAGAUGUGAAUGUGCCUUUCACAUGUGCUCGUUCCCCAUUUAAUAAGGAAGUUCUGUGAGAAGAAGCAGUUGCAGCCUCAAGAGGUGAAAUUCUGCCCUGGAAAAUAAGACGGGUGAACUGCUAAGUCCAGAAUGAAGACCAGACACCAGGAAGCCUGAAGCCAAAUGUCCUCAAGUCAAACCUUGGAGCAGCCAGAGGCAGGAGCGAUCAGGCAGGGGACAGCCAUCCAGAACAUUCUGGAAUCACCAUCUGAGGAGCAGAGGGGAGCUGUGUGUGCAGCCAGCCGUGGUCAGACAGAGGAAAUGCAGGGUCUGGCUGCUGGCCAUUCUUACCCUCGCUCCCACCAUCAGGAUCUCUGGCCCCAUCCUGACCCCUGGUGGCUGCCCAUGGGAUGAGGUGAGCAUUCUUCCCAAGCUCCUCCCUGCCCUGGUCCCACCCAGCAUAGCAGGAAAAAUGAAUCCCCCACCCCACAGGUCCUGGCUAGGGUCCCCAGGAAGUACAAGUGUGUUUCCUAGGGGUUUUUCAGGAGGGUUUACUCCACUGUGGUCACCAGGUGCCUUCUCAAUGUAAGUCCAGAGACCAAUUAAACAAAUGUAUAUAAAGAAAGCCCUUUCACCUGCCAAGUUGGCAAAAGGUGUGUUAAAAAAGAGGUGUGUGUCUGUGUGAAUGCAUGUGUGUGUUAUAACUAAAAGUUAAUGCAGGCCGGGGUGCAAUAAGACCAGCACUCUCAUGCACAAUUCGUGAGAGUACAAAUUUGUAUAACCCUUCUGCAAGUGAUCCGAGCAAAAUAAAUCCAAAAUCUUACUAAGCAUUCUAUCCUCUGACCCAGUAAUUCUGUUAGGAAUCCAGCUUCAAAAAUAUCAAUACUCAAAUAACAUGAAACCCAAAAUUUGAAAUAAAUGGGAGAGGAAAAAACAAGAUAAGCCAAGCGUGAUCAUCACUGAGGCUGGAUGAUGAUUACAUGACAGUUCUUUAUUCUGUUUUGUUUUGUUUUGUUUUUGUCUGCUUUGCUAUAUGCUGUGAAUUUGCCACGAUAUUUUUAGAAGAAAGCAUCA
Prionailurus viverrinus (fishing cat) is the source of this 2096-nucleotide long non-coding RNA. RefSeq lists it as uncharacterized. NCBI's taxonomy places the organism in Eukaryota, Metazoa, Chordata, Mammalia, Carnivora, Felidae. The transcript is spliced from 8 exons. The record is from RefSeq and is a predicted model, not a curated record.